UGUUUUGUGAGAUUAAGAGUCACUUAUGGUUUGUCUCCCUCCCAAUCCCAUCUUGUUUCAUUUAUUCUUCUGCAGCCAGAAUGCAAGAUAUAAUUUGUAACGCUUAUUUCUGAUCCCUCACCUCCCUCCUGCAUUUGUGGUUAGCUUGAACCUUGUAUUUUGUAAAAACUGGACAUGUUUCUAUUGCUGUUAAUUCUUUUUUCCACCCCCAGUUUCUGGCUGCUGGUCAGAGUGGACGGGCCAGAGUAUCCCAGGAUGGACCGCGGCUGUUGUGUCUCUGGGCCUUGCUGGAAGGGGAGAAUCUGGGAGCCGCCCAAAGAAGCUGCUAUGAUAAGUCUCCUAACGGGCUUCCAAAUUGAGAGAUGAAAAAUGCCUGCAUGGAUUUCCUCUCAAGUCAAAUCUGGGGAAUUGAAAUGGAAGGAAGUGCAUUUGGAAGGUGUAAUCUGUGUUUUCCAU
Molecule: long non-coding RNA, 456 nt
Filed under: Mustela putorius furo (domestic ferret)
Lineage: Eukaryota; Metazoa; Chordata; Mammalia; Carnivora; Mustelidae
Description: lncRNA (ENSMPUG00000029236.1)
Source: RNAcentral